Molecule: unclassified non-coding RNA, 242 nt
Filed under: uncultured fungus
Lineage: Eukaryota; Fungi
Description: sequence contains ITS1, 5.8S rRNA gene
Rfam family: 5.8S ribosomal RNA (bases 194-242)
Source: RNAcentral
UUUCCGUUGGUGAACCAGCGGAAGGAUCAUUACAGAGAUCAUGCCCCUCGCGGGUAGACCUCCCACCCUGUGUUAUUACGAUUGUUGCUUUGGCAGGCCGCCUUCGGGCACUCGGCUCCGGCUGAGGUGCGCCUGCCAGAGGACCCCAAACUCUGAAUGUUAGUGUCGUCUGAGUAAAAACAUAAUAAGUUAAAACUUUCAACAACGGAUCUCUUGGUUCUGGCAUCGAUGAAGAACGCAGC